Molecule: ribosomal RNA, 468 nt
Filed under: uncultured bacterium
Lineage: Bacteria
Description: partial 16S ribosomal RNA
Rfam family: Bacterial small subunit ribosomal RNA
Source: RNAcentral
GACGAACGCUGGCGGCGUGCUUAACACAUGCAAGUCGAACGGAAAGGCCCUGCUUUUGUGGGGUGCUCGAGUGGCGAACGGGUGAGUAACACGUGAGUAACCUGCCCUUGACUUUGGGAUAACUUCAGGAAACUGGGGCUAAUACCGGAUAGGAGCUCCUGCUGCAUGGUGGGGGUUGGAAAGUUUCGGCGGUUGGGGAUGGACUCGCGGCUUAUCAGCUUGUUGGUGGGGUGGUGGCUUACCAAGGCUUUGACGGGUAGCCGGCCUGAGAGGGUGACCGGCCACAUUGGGACUGAGAUACGGCCCAGACUCCUACGGGAGGCAGCAGUGGGGAAUAUUGCACAAUGGGCGAAAGCCUGAUGCAGCAACGCCGCGUGCGGGAUGACGGCCUUCGGGUUGUAAACCGCUUUCGCCUGUGACGAAGCGUGAGUGACGGUAAUGGGUAAAGAAGCACCGGCUAACUACGUG